UCGGAAAAGUGUAGAAGUUUC
Non-coding RNA from Caenorhabditis elegans, 21 nucleotides. NCBI's taxonomy places the organism in Eukaryota, Metazoa, Nematoda, Chromadorea, Rhabditida, Rhabditidae. The record is from Ensembl.